This 349-nucleotide ribosomal RNA is filed under the name uncultured bacterium. Its description in RNAcentral is "bacterial SSU rRNA". It matches the Rfam family "Bacterial small subunit ribosomal RNA", at positions 976 to 1326 of the family's 1533-position model. The record is from RNAcentral.
AUCCCUUGACAUGUAGAGAACUUUCUAGAGAUAGAUUGGUGCCUUCGGGAACUCUAACACAGGUGCUGCAUGGCUGUCGUCAGCUCGUGUCGUGAGAUGUUGGGUUAAGUCCCGCAACGAGCGCAACCCUUAUCAUUAGUUGCUACCAUUUAGUUGAGAACUCUAAUGAGACUGCCGGUGAUAAACCGGAGGAAGGCGGGGACGACGUCAAGUCAUCAUGGCCCUUAUGGGAUGGGCUACACACGUGCUACAAUGGGGGGUACAAAGAGCUGCCAACUGGCAACAGUGCGCGAAUCUCAAAAAACCCUUCGUAGUCCGGAUCGGAGUCUGCAACUCGACUCCGUGAAGU